This 601-nucleotide ribosomal RNA is filed under the name uncultured Basidiomycota. Its description in RNAcentral is "eukaryotic LSU rRNA". The stretch from base 168 to 321 matches the Rfam family "5.8S ribosomal RNA". Lineage: Eukaryota; Fungi; Basidiomycota. The record is from RNAcentral.
GCGGAGGAUCAUUAGUGAAUAUAGGACGUCCAACUUAACUUGGAGUCCGAACUCUCACUUUCUAACCCUGUGCACUUGUUUGGGAUAGUAACUCUCGCAAGAGAGCGAACUCCUAUUCACUUAUAAACACAAAGUCUAUGAAUGUAUUAAAUUUUAUAACAAAAUAAAACUUUCAACAACGGAUCUCUUGGCUCUCGCAUCGAUGAAGAACGCAGCGAAAUGCGAUAAGUAAUGUGAAUUGCAGAAUUCAGUGAAUCAUCGAAUCUUUGAACGCACCUUGCGCUCCAUGGUAUUCCGUGGAGCAUGCCUGUUUGAGUGUCAUGAAUACUUCAACCCUCCUCUUUCUUAAUGAUUGAAGAGGUGUUUGGUUUCUGAGCGCUGCUGGCCUUUACGGUCUAGCUCGUUCGUAAUGCAUUAGCAUCCGCAAUCGAACUUCGGAUUGACUUGGCGUAAUAGACUAUUCGCCGAGGAAUUCUAGUCUUCGGACUAGAGCCGGGUUGGGUUAAAGGAAGCUUCUAAUCAGAAUGUCUACAUUUUAAGAUUAGAUCUCAAAUCAGGUAGGACUACCCGCUGAACUUAAGCAUAUCAAUAAGCGGAGGAA